AUGACGAACCAGGUAGCAUCUGAGGUUAUUGAGAUCAUAGAAGACGACGAUUCUGUAGGUGAAGAAUGUUGGGGAUUGCUUGAGGCCAGUUCUGAGUUUAAUUUAGAAGAUUAUCUCAAUGAAGGUGGAGAUGGAAUUCUAGCGGCACCUUCCUUUUUUCCUGAUGGAGAUGGAAUUUUAGCAGCACCAAAUCAUACUAUCAUCAAUAGAAAGAAUGUCACUCUUGCACUUGAUCUUGAUGGCACCCUUAUCCAUUCAUCAAGGUAUGACCAGGGCGCAGACUUUUCAUUCCCUAUGCGCCAAGGAGAAGAAGAGUACACUGUCUACGUGAAGAAGAGACCACAUGUGGACGCCUUCCUUGAAGAGGCAGCUCAUAUGUUUGAACUUGUUGUGUUUAUGGCUAGCGUUUUCCGGCAACUGGUGAAUAAUGGGAUACCCAUAAAGAGAUGGUCAAGUGACCCGUCUGACAUUUCACUGCUUGAGCUGAUCCCCUUCUUGGAAACAAUUGCUGACACAGAUGAUGUCGGGCUGAUCAUUGCAAACAAAUUUUCCAGUUAA
RNAcentral lists this ribosomal RNA (558 nucleotides) under Triticum aestivum (bread wheat). RNAcentral's name for it is "partial small subunit ribosomal RNA". The record is from RNAcentral. Lineage: Eukaryota; Viridiplantae; Streptophyta; Magnoliopsida; Poales; Poaceae.